AUCGAAUCCCACAUCAGACUCCCUGCAUGGAGCCUGCUUCUCCCUCUGCCUGUGUCUCUGCCUCUCUCUCUCUCUCUCUCUCUCUCUCUCUCUCUGUCUCUCAUGAAUAAAUAAACAGGGAUUCCUGGGUGGUGCAGCGGUUUGGCGCCUGCCUUUGGCCCAGGGCGCGAUCCUGGAGACCUGGGAUCGAAUCCCACGUCGGGCUCCUGGUGCAUGGAGCCUGCUUCUCCCUCUGCCUGUGUCUCUGCCUCUCUCUCUCUCUCCCUGUGUGACUAUCAUAAAUAAAUCAAAAUUUAAAAAAAAGAAUAAAUAAAUAAAAUAUUAAAAAAACAGAAACAAAAACAACACUACAUACAAAUUCAAAGUUUUCUUUGACCAGUAUCCCAAAUCCUGGUCCUUUCCCUCCAGAGAUACAUAGUUCUCUUCUGGUUAUGUUUUAAUAUGUUACAGAGAACUUUUCACAUCAGUAGGUUAUAAAGCUAUCUCCCUUUUAUAACUGCUAUAUAGUAUCCUAUUGUAUGGAUGUAUCAGUUUAGACAUUCUGUUGUUGGACACAAGAUUGUUUCCUUUUUUUUUUUUUUGGUUAUUACAAUGUUUCAUUGUUUCAUUGAGAAUUCUUUAUGACUCUUAGUGCUAUAGAGAAGUAUCUUGAUUUUUUUUUUUUUAAAGAGGCUCCACACCCACCAUGGAGCCCAACACAGGCCUUACAACCAUGCAAUUGAGACCUGAGCUGAGAUCAAGAAUCAGAUGCUUAACCAACUGAGUCUCUCUGGGGGAAUAUUAAAAGAUUCAAUUGCUAGGUUACAGAAUAUGUACUUUUAAAUUUUUAAUAUAUACUUAAAAAUAGCCCUAAAAUGAUUUAUAUUCCCACCAACUAACCUUGUGAGGAUACUUUGGACACUUUCCCAUACUUUUGCUAACACUUGGUAUUAGCAGUCUUAAAUUUUUGCCAAAAAGAAAGGUGAAUAAAAGUUAUCUCAUAUAAUAGCACACACAUACACACAUAUAUAUGUAUAUAUAGGUAUAAGUGUCUAUGUAUGUAUAUGCCAUUUGUAUGUCCUCUACUUGAAUUGCCUACUUUGCCCAUAUUUCUUUUCUUUUUUUCUUUUUUUUUUUUAAGAUUUUAAUAGAGAGUGUGAGCACAUGGUGGGGGAGUGGGCAAAGGGAGAGGGAGAGAGUCUUAAGUAGACUGCACUGAGCAUAAACCCAACAUGGGGCUCAAUCCCAUGACCCUGAGAUAACCAUCUGAGCCGAAACCAAGAGUCAGAAGCUUAAUUGAUGUGGCCACCCAGGCGCCUUCUACUUUGCCCAUAUUUCUAUUCAGUUUCCUAGGUAAUUUUCAAAACAUAUUAUGCCAUAUCUUUUUUUUUAAGAUUUUAUUUAUUCAUGAGAGACACAGAUCGAGGCAGAGAUACAGGCAGAGGGAGAAGCAGGCUCCCCAUGAGGAGCCUGAUGCAGAACUCGAUCCCAGGACCCCAGGAUCACAACCUGAGCCAAAGGCAGAUGCUCAACCACUGAGCCACCCAGGCGUCCCCAUAUUAUGCCAUAUCUAUCUUCUAUGUCAUAUUCAUGCAUGUGUGCACACGCACACACACACAAGCUUUGUGCUACACUUUACAUUUAACCUAUUUAAACUAAAUUUUGUUAGAUUUGGUCUAGCCUGCCAAGAUCCCUUUGCAUUCUGAUUCUGUUCUCCAACAUUGUAUUCAUUAUCCCUCCCAUAUUCUUGCUAUCUACAAAUAUGAUGUCAUCAAUGUUCUUUUUUCUAAAAUUUCUAAAAUUAAUUAAUUUUUAAAGUAAUCUCCACACCCAACAUGGGGCUCAAACUCAGCCCCAUGAGUUCGAUGGGUUGAACAUCGUAUCAGGAGUUGAUGUUCUACCAACUGAGCCAGGUGCAAUUGUCAUCAAUAUUAACUAAACCAUUUGUACAAAUAUUGAAAAGGAUAGCCCCCAGGUCAAGAGCCCGGUGGGGCGGGGGGGAGCCCGGUGGAAUGUACUAGAGACCUCUAAUUUGGUAUUAAUCUAUUAUUAGUUAAUGGGAUUCUAGAUGGUGCUCACAUUGCCUUCUCACCCUAUAACAAUCAGGAGCCUGGUUCAGUUGGAACUUGCACCUGCAGGUCCCAUUGUCAGACUUUACAUAAGAGAUGUUAGUCUGAGUUCUAUGUCCCAGGCCAAAAGUAACAAGUAAACUUGGUUUACAACCCCUUUCCUAGACUUCAGUCAUCUGGGUCAGGCUUCUCUAAGGAUCUACUAAUUCCAUUUCAGAACCUAUAGAUUUUCUAAAAACUUAGAAAAUGGGGGCUCCUGGGUGGUCAGUUAAGCAUAUGCCUUUGGUGUGAGUCAUGAUCCCAGGGUCCUGGGAUUAAGCCCUGUGUCAGGCUCCCUGCUCAGUGGGGAGUCUGCUUCUCCCUCUCCUUCUCCCUCUGCUUCUCUACUCUGUGCUCUCACUCUCUCUCUCAAAUAAAUAUAACCUUUAAAAAUAUCUUAGAAAAUUUCAUUCAUUCUUCAAUUUUGUAGCACUUAGUUUAUACUAACUACAGUUCUGGUCUGUCAGAUCCUUUGUGGCUUUCACUUCUUACCCUGUCCAUCUUAGGCUCCAUGGACAAUGAUAUAUUUCAAAACACUUUUAACACACCCUCAAUUACUUUUGUCUUUUGUUCUUUGGUCCCAACUACCUCACCACACCCCAGUUCUAAUUAAUCUAAUCUUUGUGUUUGUUUAUUCAAUAAAUUUAUUAACUGCCUAUUGAUGUGCCAAGAGUUGUUCUAGGUAUUGGGGAUAGAAGUGGGUUUUCUGUACUUGUGGUUUGCCUGCUACUUUUUGGGAUAGCAUUUAUGAGAGUCAGAAUUAGUAUUCAUGUGCGAUUUCCAGCCUUAACUUGGCAGUCUGCAUGGGAAGCUAGGUUCCUUGUGAAUCUUCCACAGCUGUUCUCAAGUACCCCACUCUAGUCCUAGCCUCUGGCUUUUAUAGACUACCUUGUAUUACACCUCAAAAGGAAUGGGGCACCUCAUCUAUAUCUUCUUGCCUAGUUAAGUAGAGAAACUCCUUAUAGAGGCAUUAAUUUUGCCCUCCUAUCUGUAUCUUCUGGAAUACUGUGCCUAUCAAUUGUCCCUUCUCUCUUCUCUCUCUUUUUAAAGAUUUAUUUAUUUAGGGGCUCCUGGGUGGCUCAGUCAGUUAAGCAUCUGCCCCCAGCUCAGGUCAUGAUCCUAUGCAUCAGGUUCCUGCUUAGUGGGAAAUUUGCUUCUCCCUCUUCUUUCCUCAUGCUUGUGCUCAUGCAUGUGUGCGCUCUCAAAUAAAUUUACUUGAGACAGGGAGGGACGAGGAAAAGGGAGGAAAUCCCAAGCAGACUCCCCAAUGAGUGCAGAGCCCCAUCAGGGCUCAGCAUAGGCUCAAUUUCACAGCGCUGAGAUCAUGAUCUGAGCCAAAAUCACUAGUCAGAUGCUUAACUGACUAAGCUACCCAGGUGCCCCCCUUCUCUCCUUUAUAAUUUCUCUCAUACCAGAUCAUUCUCCCUAACCUACAAAUGUUUGAAUCUCUCAUUCUAAAAAAAAUUCUUUCUUCAACCCAACCACCCUCUGCUUUCUCAUCACUCCAAAAUUUCUUGAAAAAUAAAUGUUUAACUACUAUUUACUCUUUAACUCAGUGAAAUUCAGCUUUUGCCCUCAUUAAUUUACAAAAUCUGGGACACCUGGAUGGCUCAGUCAGUUAGGUGUCUGCUUUUGGCUCAGGUCAUGAUCCUAGAGUCCUGGGAUCAAGCCCCACGUAGGGAUCCUUGUUCAGUGGGAGCCUGCUUCUCCCUCUGCCUCUGCCUGCCACUCCCCCUGCUUGUGAAUGCACUUCUCACUUUCUCUGUCAAAUAAACAAAAUCUUUUUUAAAAAAUUUACAAAAUCUAUUCUCAAAAUGACCUAAUUGCUAAGUACAAUGGCCUAUUUUCUGUCCUUACCUGAAUUUUUUUCCUCUCUUGCCUUUCAGGGAACUCCUAACUUUCUUUCCACUUUCAUACAGAAAAUAGCAAUGAAGGGGCAGUCCCAGUGACCCAGUGGUUUAGCGCCACCUUUGGCCCGGGAAAUGAUUCUGGAGACCUGGGAUCGAGUCCCGCAUCGGGCUCCCUGCAUGAAGCCUGCUUCUCCCUGUCUCUGCCUCUCUCUCUCUCUCUCUCUCUCUCUGUCUCUCUCUCUCUCUCUCUCAUGAGUAAAUAAAUAAAAUCUUUAAAAAGAAAAUAGCUAUGGCAAGACAGACCUAGCCUCUGCUCUCAUGGAAUUUGUAGUGGGGGAGGCAGGAGGGUGUGGGGGAACCAACAUGCAACAAAGAAUCAGACUUCCAUUCUAGCAGUAUAACAGACCAGAUACCCUGAGAACUAUUCCAUAAAAAAACACCUAAAAACACUAGCUCAAAUAUAAAAAGUAAAAGCAUUAAUUCAAAAACAUAAGGCUGAAAUUGGUGGCUGUUCUACAGACAUCUGCUAACCCCCAGAGACAGAGCUUCCAUCUUAAUCAUUUUUCAAGGACAGCAGACAAAGCCUAGGGCUUGUACAAAAAGAACAGUUGGAUUGGCCCCUGAAUGAGGCUAGGACUUCUGCAGACUUCACUCUCAGUGAAAAGGUAAAACAGAAAAUACCCACCCUGAGAAGAGAGAUGGAAAAGAAAUGUCCUGAUCUCAGUCAUAGCUCAGAAUAAAGGGGAAAAGAUCUCCCCUUAGAAAUCACAAGUUAGUCCUCCCAGGGGUUUAUAGCCUAAAUUCACAUUACCCAAAUUAACAGAAAUCCUUAAAGCUCAGAUUUUAUUUUAAAGUAAUUUACAAGUUGGAUACUAUUCCCAGGCAUUUGAAAGAAACAAACACAGGGACCUGGAUAGCUCAGUCAGGUAAGUGUCCAACUCUUAAUCUCAGCUCAGGCUUGAUCUCAAGGUUGUGAGUUCAAGCCCCACAUUGGGCUCCACAUCCAGCAUGGAGCUACUUAAAAAAAAAAAAAAAAGAAAAGAAAAAAGAGGAAUGCCUGGGUGGCUCAGCGGUUGAGCGUCUGCCUUCAGCUCAGGGCAUGAUCUCGGGGUCCCAGGAUCAAGUCCACAUUGGGCUCUUUGUGUGGAGCUUGCUUCUCCCUCUGCCUGUGUCUGCCUCUCUCUCUCUCUCUCUCUCUGUCAUGAAUCAAUAACUAAAACCUUUUUUA
RNAcentral lists this long non-coding RNA (5165 nucleotides) under Canis lupus familiaris (dog). Its description in RNAcentral is "lncRNA (ENSCAFG00000057757.1)". The record is from RNAcentral. Lineage: Eukaryota; Metazoa; Chordata; Mammalia; Carnivora; Canidae.